RNAcentral lists this ribosomal RNA (497 nucleotides) under uncultured bacterium. RNAcentral's name for it is "partial 16S ribosomal RNA". It matches the Rfam family "Bacterial small subunit ribosomal RNA", at positions 28 to 507 of the family's 1533-position model. The record is from RNAcentral.
GAUGAACGCUGGCGGCGUGCCUAAUACAUGCAAGUCGAGCGAACGAACGAGAAGCUCGCUUCUCUGAUGUUAGCGGCGGACGGGUGAGUAACACGUGGAUAACCUACCUAUAAGACUGGGAUAACUUCGGGAAACCGGAGCUAAUACCGGAUAAUAUUUUGAACCGCAUGGUUCAAAAGUGAAAGACGGUCUUGCUGUCACUUAUAGAUGGAUCCGCGCUGCAUUAGCUAGUUGGUAAGGUAACGGCUUACCAAGGCAACGAUGCAUAGCCGACCUGAGAGGGUGAUCGGCCACACUGGAACUGAGACACGGUCCAGACUCCUACGGGAGGCAGCAGUAGGGAAUCUUCCGCAAUGGGCGAAAGCCUGACGGAGCAACGCCGCGUGAGUGAUGAAGGUCUUCGGAUCGUAAAACUCUGUUAUUAGGGAAGAACAUAUGUGUAAGUAACUGUGCACAUCUUGACGGUACCUAAUCAGAAAGCCACGGCUAACUACGUG